This 1501-nucleotide long non-coding RNA is filed under the name Scleropages formosus (Asian bonytongue). RNAcentral describes it as "lncRNA (ENSSFOG00015033269.1)". Lineage: Eukaryota; Metazoa; Chordata; Actinopteri; Osteoglossiformes; Osteoglossidae. The record is from RNAcentral.
CGGUGGGCGGGACAGGGGGCGGUGGACGGUCAGUAAAACUUGUGUGUGUGUGUGUGUGUGUGUGUGUGUGUGUGUGUGUGUGUGUGUGUGUUUCUACAGCAGCUGCUGUUAUGGACUCGUGUGCGUCACGGGAGAUGAUGGUCAUCGAUCACUGAUCCAUUGAUCACUGAGUCUCUCAUUCGGGAUUCGCGGAACCGCAGACUCUCUUUCUGUGUGUGUGUGUGUGUGUGAGUGUGAGUGUGAGUGUGUGUGUGGUUCCACUUCUGUCCUACCUUUCGUUUCCAUCCUCCUGGUGAUCGACAGAGAGUCACAAACUCGUCAUAACUGACGGGUUCGUUACGGCUCAAUCAUUGAAUGAACGAAUGAAUGAAUGAAUGAAUGAAUGAAUGAAUGAAUGAACGACCGACCGAACGAACGACGGCGUGGAUCCGAACAUCAGAGAAAUACUGCAGCGCGCGGCGGUUUCGAUCUUGUGCGGCAUCAAUCUGUGAUCUCCAGUUCGCUCCUUUUGAUCCCGAGGGACGAAAUCUCUAGCGACACCUUCCUUAUCAGAAAAGUGCAGAAAUCGAACCAGCAUGCAUCUUGAUGGAUCAGGUGCACCGAUGGGAUAUCUGUAGGUGACGCCUAUCUCGGUUACACUAAAAUCGGAUGGCAGACCCACCCAAGACGGCAAUUUGUUCUGCAGAAAUCAUCUAAGUGGGAUAUUACCUUCAGCAUUCUCAGGUAAACUCACGAUUUUCGGAUAAUCGCACCGAGUCUCAUUUUCCAGAUUGUGCAUUUUGGCUUGGUACAGCUCAACUUGUUCCAGGGUGGCUGUUGAUUCAUCUAGCGAUUUAUACCAGUGCUCAAUAGCAGGAAUCGUGUAUUCAGCCUCAACAGUGUAAUUCUCCAAGCUAUUGGUGUGAUGGGUUCAGCCAAUAAGUUUUGUUUCAUAACCACAACAAAAAACAAUAGACUCUUUAGUUUGGUAAUGUCAUUUGUGAGCCGAGCUUCCAUCGUGCUCAUUUGCUCAACAUAAUAUUUACUUGUUUAGAGAUCUCUUUCAUAACACUCAUUCUACCAGAUUUUUCUUUCACACCAUGGUGCAAGUUCUUCAACCGAUUUUGAACUGGCACAAAUGCAAACAGCAGCCCUAUAUUUUGAAUGUGUUCAUGGCCCUGAGUUGACUUUCUGAAAGCAUGUCGUUGAAAAAACUGGAUAUUCUUUGAUGUCAUUGGUGCAAGAUAUGGUGUCAGCUGUAUUUUUGUAAAAUCAAUGAGAGAAAAGGGAGAAAAAUAUCAGAAUUGUGGGUUUCUAAAGAUAAGGCAACAUUGAAACAGCUAUCUUUGAACCAGAACACGCGACUAGAUCAUAAAGCUUUAUGUGCAGACUGGGAUCGUAUUGGCAGUAAAUGAUAGAUGAUCAUAAAUCUAUUAUCAAGAGCACGGGCCUUUGAACAAGAACUGAACAACGAAGAAACAAUGUGCUGAAUAAAAAAUAUCUCUUCACAAAAAGUAGCUCA